GAUGAAGAACGUAGCGAAAUGCGAUAAGUAGUGUGAAUUGCAGAAUUCAGUGAAUCAUCGAAUCUUUGAACGCACAUUGCGCCCCGUGGUAUUCCAUGGGGCAUGCCUGUUCGAGCGUCAUUUGUACCCUCAAGCUUUGCUUGGUGUUGGGUGUUUGUCCUCUCCUUUGCGUUUGGACUCGCCUUAAAGCAAUUGGCAGCCAGUGUUUUGGUAUUGAAGCGCAGCACAAUUUGCGAUUCUAACCGACUACACUUGCGUCCAUAAGCCUUUUUUAACUUUUGACCUCGGAUCAGGUAGGGAUACCCGCUGAACUUAAGCAUAUCAAUAAGCGGAGGA
Molecule: unclassified non-coding RNA, 336 nt
Filed under: soil metagenome
Description: partial contains 5.8S ribosomal RNA, internal transcribed spacer 2, and large subunit ribosomal RNA
Rfam family: 5.8S ribosomal RNA (bases 1-120)
Source: RNAcentral